Molecule: ribosomal RNA, 280 nt
Filed under: uncultured prokaryote
Description: partial 16S ribosomal RNA
Rfam family: Bacterial small subunit ribosomal RNA
Source: RNAcentral
UACGUAGGUGGCAAGCGUUGUCCGGAUUUACUUGGGGUGUAAAGGGGGCGCAGGCGGGAAGCUAAGUUGGAUAGUUGAAAUACCGGGGCUCAACUCCGGAAGCUGCAUCCAAAACUGGUUUUCUUGAGUGGAGUAGAGGCAAGCGGAAUUCCGAGUGUAGCGGUGAAAUGCGUAGAUAUUCGGAGGAACACCAGUGGCGAAGGCGGCUUGCUGGGCUCUAACUGACGCUGAGGCCCGAAAGCGUAGGGAGCAAACAGGAUUAGAUACCCCUGUAGUCCCU